This 253-nucleotide ribosomal RNA is filed under the name uncultured bacterium. RNAcentral's name for it is "partial 16S ribosomal RNA". It matches the Rfam family "Bacterial small subunit ribosomal RNA", at positions 524 to 776 of the family's 1533-position model. The record is from RNAcentral.
UACGUAGGGUGCAAGCGUUGUCCGGAAUUAUUGGGCGUAAAGAGCUCGUAGGUGGCCUGUCGCGUCGGCUGUGAAAACUCGGGGCUCAACUCCGAGCUUGCAGUCGAUACGGGCAGGCUAGAGUUCGGCAGGGGAGACUGGAAUUCCUGGUGUAGCGGUGAAAUGCGCAGAUAUCAGGAGGAACACCAGUGGCGAAGGCGGUUCUCUGGGCAUUACCUGACGCUGAGGAGCGAAAGUGUGGGGAGCGAACAGG